UUUUUAUGUAUAUUACCUGUUUACUUGUACAACUUACUGUACAAAUUACAUGCAGCUUCAUUUUCAAAUGAAUCCUUAAAAUAAGGAAAUCUUUUUAGGAAAACAUUUAAUUUUUGUAUUUUUGAUUUUAAAGGCAUGAGUUAUGUCAAUUUUCAGUGUAUUAAUGAAGAUUUUAACUUUUCAUCAGGUUGAGUGUUUUCUUACUAUAUUAUCUGUUGUGUAUGUAGUUAGCAUAUUGUGUCACUGAACUGUUUAAAAAUCUAGCAUGUAGAGCAAGCCUGUUUUGUGGAAAAUCCUUAUUCAUUAAAAAAAUAAUCAUGGCAGAUUUUCUGCAAAAAAAAAAAAAAAACAAAAGCAUUUGCAAUUCAGAAUACUGAUUUUUUUAAUUUUAUUUAAAGAAAGGUAUUUUGCUUGCAGGAAAAAAAUACUACAGAUUCAUUUUAAUGAGAAUCUUUGAAAUGUAUUUAUCUUUAGGGCAUCUGGGCAUCUUUAUGCUGUUUGUCUUCUGUCUUUCUUGAAAUAAAAUGUACAUACGUUACCUUUACAUAUGCUCUUGCUCAAAAUUGUGAACCUAGUUAUAUUUCUCCCUGCUCCCUUCCUUUUUAUGCUCAAACAGCGAAACCCAAAAGUUAAAAGAUCUGAACUUUCAGCAUGCAUUCUGAUUGCUGAAAGAUUUCCUGAUUUAGUGCAUUCUCAAAAGGGCUUUCCCAUAAUCUAAAGGGAAAUGUAAGCACCUAUACUCUUCUGCCUGUGGGCACUUCAAUAAUAAAAACCAACUUUUUAAACUAAUCGUCUUUUAUCAAUGAUAAAGUUGUUUUCAGUCCCACACUAGGAGAGUUCCUUUAAGUCAGCUGAUCAAGCAUAAGAUACUUCCGUAAAGAAAUAAACUAAGAAAAUUUUAUAUGGCUUGAGAAAAUUUCUUGAGGCCAAAUUAAUAUAUUUUUUCUUCGUUAUUUUAUUUGAGUCAUUUUAAAUUUGUUAAUACAAAAUUUAAGAUAAUUUACAGAGACAAUUUAGCCAGCUUCCUUCUACCUUAAUACAAUGUUUUGUCUUCCCGUUAUCCUCUCUUUUCUUUAUCUGUUGGUAGAGGUAAAAAACUUCCAUUUAGUUAAUCGGAGGUGUAUAUUUUUUAAAUUGAAAUAUGCCCAGUCCCUUCAGCUCACACAGGAAACAUGAACUCUUAAAAAACUGACUAGUAAAUGCAGGAAAGGUGGAUACCUGAUGAGACACAGCGAAAGUGACCUGUAUACACAUUACAACUCUGGAGUACAUAUUAAAGUCGUGCUAUUUCCAGUGGUAAAUGUCUGACUUUUAAGACAUUCUUUUAAAUAUUUGUAUCAUUGUUAGGAUGUUUUAAUUAGUUGUUUUUUAAUUCCAUGUAAUAUAUGUAGCCCUCAUCAGAUUUAUAUCACCAUAUUUCUCCUUGUGUCCUAAGAGAAUUGAUGACAAUUCGUAACCAUAAAUUGUUUUAUAUUAGCUAGUAUGUAUAUUUAUUUUUACCCAAUGGCUUUAUCUGUUUCCCAAAAUUUGUUUGGGAUUUGUUGAAAGCAUUGUGUAACUUCUAUAAACGGCUAUUUUCUUGUAACUGUCAGUGAAAUGAAUGUGU
Molecule: long non-coding RNA, 1606 nt
Organism: Pongo abelii (Sumatran orangutan)
Lineage: Eukaryota; Metazoa; Chordata; Mammalia; Primates; Hominidae
Source: Ensembl